GACGAACGCUGGCGGCGUGCUUAACACAUGCAAGUCGAACGGAAAGGCCCUGCUUGCAGGGUGCUCGAGUGGCGAACGGGUGAGUAACACGUGGGUGAUCUGCCCCUUACUUUGGGAUAAGCCUGGGAAACUGGGUCUAAUACUGGAUAGGACCAUGCUGUAGGUGGUGUGGUGGAAAGAUUAGUUUCGGUAAGGGAUCAGCUCGCGGCCUAUCAGCUUGUUGGUGGGGUAAUGGCCUACCAAGGCGUCGACGGGUAGCCGGCCUGAGAGGGUGGACGGCAGAUUGGGGGUGAGAUGAGGCCCCGGCCCCCUCCGGGGGGAGGGAGGGGGGAUUGUGGCACAAGGGCAGCAGGCUGGAAGCACCACCCCGGCGUGGGGAAGGCCGGCUUGCGGUUUGAAACCUCCUUCCAGCAAGGACGAACCCUUUGGGGGGGGGGGGGUGGAAGAGGAACCCCCGCCUACCUCCGUC
Molecule: ribosomal RNA, 469 nt
Filed under: uncultured bacterium
Lineage: Bacteria
Description: partial 16S ribosomal RNA
Rfam family: Bacterial small subunit ribosomal RNA
Source: RNAcentral